CAGAUAUUAGUUUAAAAAAAAUUUUAAUUUUGGAGAUUAAAGAUAAGAGAUUUCUUAUAUCUGA
This 64-nucleotide transfer RNA is filed under the name Aphthona strigosa. RNAcentral's name for it is "tRNA-Pro". The record is from RNAcentral. Lineage: Eukaryota; Metazoa; Arthropoda; Insecta; Coleoptera; Chrysomelidae.